UCUGGGGAUAUAGCUCAAUGGUAGAUCACUUGCCUUACAUGUGCAAGGCUCUGGGUUCAAUCCCCAGUACUAGAG
RNAcentral lists this transfer RNA (75 nucleotides) under Marmota monax (woodchuck). RNAcentral describes it as "tRNA.Val". Lineage: Eukaryota; Metazoa; Chordata; Mammalia; Rodentia; Sciuridae. The record is from RNAcentral.